This 429-nucleotide ribosomal RNA is filed under the name Acidobacteriota bacterium. Its description in RNAcentral is "Acidobacteria bacterium partial 16S ribosomal RNA". It matches the Rfam family "Bacterial small subunit ribosomal RNA", at positions 355 to 776 of the family's 1533-position model. The record is from RNAcentral. Lineage: Bacteria; Pseudomonadati; Acidobacteriota.
UGGGGAAUUUUGGACAAUGGGGGAAACCCUGAUCCAGCCAUCCCGCGUGUGCGAUGAAGGCCUUCGGGUUGUAAAGCACUUUUGGCAGGAAAGAAACGUCAUGGGUUAAUACCCCGUGAAACUGACGGUACCUGCAGAAUAAGCACCGGCUAACUACGUGCCAGCAGCCGCGGUAAUACAUAGGGUGCAAGCGUUAAUCGGAAUUACUGGGCGUAAAGCGUGCGCAGGCGGUUCGGAAAGAAAGAUGUGAAAUCCCAGAGCUCAACUUUGGAACUGCAUUUUUAACUACCGGGCUAGAGUGUGUCAGAGGGAGGUGGAAUUCCGCGUGUAGCAGUGAAAUGCGUAGAUAUGCGGAGGAACACCGAUGGCGAAGGCAGCCUCCUGGGAUAACACUGACGAUCAUGCACGAAAGCGUGGGGAGCAAACAGG